GACAAAAUAAGGAAUAAAAAUUUUCAAACUUAGAACGAAACUAAAAACAUGGAUUGAGAGUAUUAUGUGAACCAUCUUUGAUUCUUUGUGAACCUGUGGGGUUAUAAUGGAAGCACACAACUUGAAUUGGACGAAAAGUGGAAAUAGUAAUGUUGCUGGAAUAGUUCAUUAUGCUUAUGAGUAAUUCACGUGAAACUAAGAAUUGUCUUAUUAUCAUAUUAAGCUCAGUUCUGUGAUGCUUUAAUCGACUACAGGUCCGGUUGCAAUAGCAGCAGCCUCAUUAGGUACUCGGUUAAGUGGAACUCAUUAUAGUUUGACACUUUGCUAUAAACAACAACACCAAAGUUUAAGAUCUCUGACACAGGUAAAUUUCAUUAUUGUUUUCGAGUUUUUUGGUUAUUUUCAAAAAGCUAUUUAAUUUAUAGAAUUGGGUUAACAACUUUUCAGGAUUCAGUUUUGCAUACUCAUUCCCCUUGUAGAACACUCCCACAAUCUUCUUCUUUUCACCUGACACCUAUUUUCAAUCAUAGGGAAAAGUAAAUAAAUCAAUCACAGUCAUGCAUAAACAGAGUUGAAGGAAACAAUAUUAAUCAUGAUGUUGCAUGAGCAUAAAUAAUUAAACAUUCAUUAACACACAUUUUUUGAGGAUGUGUUGUAGAGUGGGGUAACAACGGUUUCUUGAGUAGUUGUUGUCUGGACUUCAACUAGGUAUUCUUGUGCUUCUUGUGUGUUAUCACUCAUGGCUGAAAGAGAAGUUUAAAACAGAAUAGCAAUAGAAAUGAUGAAAAGGAGAACUAAGAAGAGAUGCAAAUGAAAGAUUUCUUGCUAGUGUGUGUCUGUGGGAGAGAAGAAAGGUGGGUUAUAUAGA
RNAcentral lists this long non-coding RNA (868 nucleotides) under Vigna radiata. RNAcentral describes it as "long non-coding RNA (VRAD_LNC001594)". Lineage: Eukaryota; Viridiplantae; Streptophyta; Magnoliopsida; Fabales; Fabaceae. The record is from RNAcentral.